GACGAACGCUGGCGGCGUGCUUAACACAUGCAAGUCGAACGGAAAGGCCCUGCUUUUGUGGGGUGCUCGAGUGGCGAACGGGUGAGUAACACGUGAGUAACCUGCCCUUGACUUUGGGAUAACUUCAGGAAACUGGGGCUAAUAACGGAUAGGAGCUCCUGCUGCAUGGUGGGGGUUGGAAAGUUUCGGCGGUUGGGGAUGGACUCGCGGCUUAUCAGCUUGUUGGUGGGGGAGUGGCUUACCAAGGCUUUGACGGGUAGCCGGCAUGAGAGGGUGACCGGCUACAUUGGGAUGGAGAUACGGCCCAGACUCCUACGGGAGGCAGCAGUGGGGAAUAUUGCACAAUGGGCGGAAGCCUGAUGCAGCAACGCCGCGUGCGGGAUGACGGCCUUCGGGUUGUAAACCGCUUUCGCCUGUGACGAAGCGUGAGUGACGGUAAUGGGUAAAGAAGCACCGGCUAACUACGUG
RNAcentral lists this ribosomal RNA (468 nucleotides) under uncultured bacterium. RNAcentral describes it as "partial 16S ribosomal RNA". It matches the Rfam family "Bacterial small subunit ribosomal RNA", at positions 28 to 507 of the family's 1533-position model. The record is from RNAcentral.